RNA transcript from Leopardus geoffroyi (Geoffroy's cat), 5213 nucleotides. It is a transcript of the gene named mitogen-activated protein kinase 7, with no coding region annotated. The record is from RefSeq and is a predicted model, not a curated record. The transcript has 8 exons. NCBI's taxonomy places the organism in Eukaryota, Metazoa, Chordata, Mammalia, Carnivora, Felidae.
UCUUGGGAGGCGGGGCGGGGGGACCGGCUGGGCAGAGCACGACGCUGAGGUGGUGGCGGCGGCCUUAAACAAGUGAGCGAGCGACUCUUUUAGUACCCCUCCACGGGGGAAGGGAGAUCGGGGAGGCAGGGGGCACCGGCGACCUCCGAAGGCUCCGAGGAGGUGUCGGAGUGGGGCGCCAUUCGGUGAGUGUUGACCGAGAAAAGCGAAGUGCCCCGCCCCUCCCUUUCUUCCUGGACCGCGCCUGGCGGCGCCUCCCCCACCUCCCACCCUGCGUUCUACCCCGGACCUGAGCUCUGGGUUCCAAGUCCGGGUGUGGGACGACGACUGCGUGCCAGCCGCUCUCUUUCGCUCCCUACCUGGCCCCCUUCGGCUUGGGGAACUUGGUAACUCCCUGGUACUGCUCCCCAGCCUCAUAGAGGGGAAACUGAGGCCUGGGAGGGCGGCGGGCCCCUCCUCACCAGCGUCUCCGCACAGAAGCCAUGGCCGAACCCCUGAAGGAGGAAGAAGGCGAGGACGGCUCUGGGGAGCCGCCCGGGCCGGUGAAGGCGGAACCCACCAACACCGCUGCCUGUGUAGCGGCCAAGAACCUGGCCCUGCUGAAAGCGCGCUCCUUCGAUGUGACCUUUGACGUGGGGGACGAGUACGAGAUCAUUGAGACCAUAGGCAACGGGGCCUAUGGGGUGGUGUCCUCAGCGCGCCGACGUCUCACCGGCCAGCAGGUGGCCAUUAAGAAGAUCCCUAAUGCUUUUGACGUGGUUACCAAUGCCAAGCGGACCCUCAGGGAGCUGAAGAUCCUCAAACACUUCAAGCACGACAACAUCAUCGCCAUCAAGGACAUCUUGAGGCCCACCGUGCCCUACGGGGAGUUCAAAUCUGUCUACGUGGUCCUGGACCUGAUGGAGAGCGACCUGCACCAGAUCAUCCAUUCCUCCCAGCCACUCACUCUGGAGCACGUGCGCUACUUCCUGUACCAGCUGCUUCGGGGCCUCAAGUACAUGCACUCGGCUCAGGUCAUCCACCGCGACCUCAAGCCCUCCAACCUGUUGGUGAAUGAGAAUUGUGAGCUCAAGAUCGGUGACUUUGGCAUGGCCCGCGGCCUGUGCACCUCGCCAGCUGAGCACCAGUACUUUAUGACUGAGUACGUGGCCACGCGCUGGUACCGUGCUCCUGAGCUCAUGCUCUCACUGCAUGAGUACACGCAGGCCAUCGACCUGUGGUCUGUGGGCUGCAUCUUUGGUGAGAUGCUGGCCCGGCGCCAGCUCUUCCCAGGCAAAAAUUAUGUGCACCAACUGCAGCUGAUCAUGAUGGUGCUGGGUACUCCAUCGCCGGCCGUGAUUCAGGCCGUCGGGGCCGAGAGGGUGCGGGCCUAUAUCCAGAGCCUGCCGCCACGUCAGCCCGUGCCCUGGGAGACAGUGUACCCAGGCGCUGACCGCCAGGCCCUCUCACUGUUGGGGCGCAUGCUGCGUUUUGAGCCCAGCGCCCGCAUCUCCGCAGCUGCUGCCCUUCGCCACCCCUUCCUGGCCAAGUACCACGAUCCUGAUGACGAGCCCGACUGUGCCCCGCCUUUUGAUUUCGCCUUUGACCGUGAAGCCCUCACCCGGGAGCGCAUUAAAGAGGCCAUCGUGGCUGAGAUUGAGGACUUCCACGCGCGACGCGAGGGCAUCCGCCAGCAGAUCCGCUUCCAGCCUUCCCUGCAGCCUGUGGCCAGUGAGCCUGGCUGCCCCGACGUUGAGAUGCCCAGCCCCUGGGCUCCCAGCGGGGACUGUGCCAUGGAGUCCCCUCCGCCAGCCCCGCCGCCGUGUCCUGGCCCGGCACCUGACACUAUCGAUCUGACCCUGCAGCCACCCCUGCCCGCCAGUGAACCAGCCCCUCCGAAGAAAGAGGGCGCCAUCUCAGACAACACCAAGGCGGCCCUCAAAGCUGCCCUGCUCAAGUCCUUGCGGAGCCGACUCCGAGAUGGCCCCAGUGCUCCUCUGGAAGCUCCUGAGCCCCGGAAGCCGGUGACAGCCCAGGAGCGCCAGCGGGAGCGGGAGGAGAAGCGGCGGAGGCGGCAGGAGCGAGCCAAGGAGCGGGAGAAGCGGCGGCAGGAGCGGGAGCGCAAGGAGCGGGGGGCCGGGGCCUCUGGGGGUCCCUCCACUGAUCCCCUGGCUGGGCUGGUGCUCAGUGACAAUGACCGCAGCCUGUUGGAGCGCUGGACUCGCAUGGCCCGGCCCCCAGCCCCCACACCGGCCCCGGCCCACGCCCCAGUCCCGGCCCCCACCCCAGCCCAGCCCACCAGUCCUCCGGCUGGCCCCCCACCGCAACCUGCAGGCUCCACCUCUGGCCCCCCACCGCAGCCUGCUUGCCCACCCCCUGGCCCUGCUCCCCACCCUGCCAGCCCUCCGGGGCCCGUCCCUGGCCCUGCUCCACUCCAGAAUGCCGCCUCUAGCCUCCUGGCUCCCCAGUCGCUUGUGCCACCCGCUGGGCUGCCUGGCCCCAGCUCCGUAGGUGUUCUGCCUUACUUCCCAUCUGGCCCGCCCCCUCCAGACCCCGGAGGGGCCCCUCAACCCUCCACCUCAGAAUCGCCCGAUGUCAACCUGGUGACCCAGCAGUUGUCCAAGUCACAGGUGGAGGACCCCUUGCCCCCGGUCUUCUCGGGCACUCCGAAGGGCAGUGGGGCCGGCUACGGUGUUGGCUUUGACCUGGAGGAAUUCCUAAACCAGUCUUUCGACAUGGGCGUGGCUGACGGGCCACAGGAUGGCCAGGCAGACUCGGCCUCACUCUCGGCUUCCCUGCUUGCUGACUGGCUGGAGGGCCAUGGCAUGAACCCUGCCGACAUUGAGUCCCUGCAGCGUGAGAUCCAGAUGGACUCCCCAAUGCUGCUGGCUGACCUGCCUGACCUCCAGGAGCCCUGAGGCCCACGGCCUGUGCCUUGCUGCGGGGGGCAGACCCAGCUACAAGACUCACAGAAACGUCUCCAAGGGCUGGAGCCUUGGGCCCAGCAGCAGAAGCUUGGCUAGAUUAUUCUGCAGGUUCAUCUCAGACACACUCUGCAGCCUUAAGCAGCCACCUGAGCCACCACCAAGUCAUGGAAGGAUCAGGAAACCUCUACUCCUUGAGCGAUCCUUUUCAGGCUGUGCUAAGAAGGAAUCUAUAACAAGUGCCUAUAUACCAUAUGCCACAGUACCCACGAUGCGUGACUCUACCUACAAUCGGUAAGUAAGAAAUUUUAGUUAUCGUCGUUAACGUCACGAUUGUGAUCUCAGGUGAACGGUGUGCCUUCCAUGUGAUUUUUAUCCUUGCCUGUGGAAGAGAUAGUUGCCUGCCUCUCCGCAUCCUCCAUCGUUCCCUCAGUCCUUUGUAAAGGCAGGGAGCUACUCCGUCUUCCUGCCGUUUGCCCUGUUGCCGGGCACGAUGGCUGGAGCUCCAGCCACCUCUUUGGCCAGUGAGGAUGAGGCCCCGUCAAGAGAUGGCAGAAGAACGUAUGUAGGUGUGGCAAAGCAGGCACUCUGUUCACUGGAUGUGGUCGGGAAUUCGUUGAACCUUCCAGAGAAAGAGGCUUGGUACAUACCAAGAGUCAGGAACACCUCUCUGAAACUGCCGUCUGAAGGAAAUACUCUGACAUUUGACAAGGCGCGUGUACUGGUCAGUGGGCGUAUUCGUGGGCUGCCCACCACGGGAACCUUCUUCCCGUGUUUGGGGGAUUCCCCCCCCCCCCACCUGGAAUACCUGUGCUUGCUCUCCCAGCCUUCCUUGCGGUUCUGUUGAGGGCACCUGACCUCGGUUCAGCCAACCAAAAGCAUUGCCCUGGGCUUUGUUUAGGGAGAGCUUGGUUUAAGAAGCAGGAGAUUGAAGAAUUCACUCUUGGGGCGGCAGUGACCCCCGAGGCAUCUGACUUCUGGUCCUCUGGCUGGUUGGUGGUGGCUUUGCAAGCACGGUACCGAGUCACAUAGGCUCUGGCUCGGGCUGCAAAGCCCUGAGCUUGGUUCUCAGCACCUCUUGGCAAUUGGUUUUCUCUGCCCACGAUCUGCUUGCAAAAGACCCCCUUCUCAUGAGUGAAGAUGUUUACAUGAGGGCUUUUUCACGGCCAACAGCAGACGCCAACCCUGACCAACAUUGUUGGAAGGCUUUCGGGGCCUUGGAAUUGUGGAGGACUAGCGAGACUGGGGACCAGUGGUUGCUCAGGCUGCUCCAAGGUCCUCAGUGGUGGUCUUGUAGUGGGGACAGUCUGUCAGGGUGGUGCUGCUCCCUGGACAGGCCGGGUCUUGGUCAGCCUGCGAGCCAGGAGGCGGGGAGCACCCGUCCCACUGGCCUUGCUUCGGUCGCUUGCCUACCCACUUGGCAUUUGCCCCUCCACCUCCUCAUCACUGGGUUCCCGUGGCCCCUGGCUUCUGGCUGGUUUCGGCCAGUGGGAGGCACCGACAGGAGGUGGAAGAAGAGGGAGGUUGGGGUGUUUGUCCCUGGCUCCCACCCUGCCUAGGACUGUGGUUUCAGCAAUGGCUGUGCCCGCCUCCCCACCUCCAAUUAUAGCUCUUGCCGUAACCCCCUUCACUGGCCCUGAUAACUCCAUAUCCUCCCCUUACCCCUGCCGCCUGGGAUGCUAAGGCCCCCACCACUGCUAGUCCCAGGGUGGCUUCCUUAAUGCCCACGCCCAAGUAAGUAGUCCAUUAAAUUCCCUUACAAACAGAAGCUGAGGCUGCCUUUGUUUCUUGCCAGGACCCUGACGGACACCAGGGCUUUCUUUGGUUUUGUUCUAAAAGCCCAGCUCCCGUGGACUGUCUUAGACAACAGCCAAAGACAAGACCCCCGCACUGUCUGUGGGUGCCGGGCGUCGUGUCUCCAUAGGACUUUCCUAACUGUUCCUCGGCUCAUCACCCGGCCUUCAGCCCGAACCGGGAGAGGGCUGAGGAGGGGAGUUUUUGAAGGGAACUCCCAGGAGCAGAGGGCACUCAAGGAGGGGAGAGGGUGUGUCCCCCAACUCGGGCCAUGCGAGGGGGCUCCAAGAAGGGUGAGGCUGUCUGUAGGAGAGACCCUGGCUGAGCGGCUGCAAAGGGCCGCUACUGCAGCAGGGGGAGGGGCUGUUGGGAAGAGGGCUGGGGCCCUCAGGCUCACUGGCAGGACAAGGAUGUAGUGUCCCUUGAGCACGUCUAGGACACAUCAGGCAUCCUUUAAUCCCUAUGUAGGCAGCUGCGGACAGACAUGACUUUCAGCCCUGCUGGAGCUAGAGGGGG